UUUAUUUAAGAUUACAUCCGGGCCUCACUUUACGUAGGACGCCAUCGAUCCCUACAUUCAACCACCCAAUAGCGGUGCUCCUUGCAUCCAGAUGUGUGAAACGGACGACCUAACAUGGAAGUAAGUCGCUAUCACUGAUAGGCUGCCCGAUCGAUGGCACCGGCCCCUGGGCUUGCUGUCUAACCAUGCCCCAUGGUUGCAUGAUGACUUAUCCAAGUUGGCCACAUCCCGCAUCCGACAUGUCGCCACUGUCUCUCCUUCGUUUUUUCUUUAUAAUAUGUAGAUGGUGAAUCAUCAUUUGUGCCGCCAUUAUUUUUUUACAGUUGUUUUGUUCGUACCUUUGAAACCGACGAAGUCCAGAAUGGAACAAAUACAACAAGGAAGAUAUUUUGCUAGAGACGAAACAUGUGCACUUCAGUUCUGUUGAGAGAGAUGUAAGACGGCUACACAUUUGUUUGGGGUAACUUUCUUUUGUUAACAUGAAUUUAGUUAAUUGUUAGUAGAUAUGUUCAUAGGCUUUGAGGCCACAACUAACAGACUGAAGUCCUUGCUGAAUUAUGGAUCUUAUGGGAAGUAGCGAGAGUGUGAGACUAUGAUUUCGCCGUGGAGGCGUCACCUAACAAAUCUGCAUCCCAGGUAUAGUUUCUGAUCCUGAUGUCUUAAAAUACAUUUCUAUAGUUCUUAAUACAGUAAUACUUAACGACAUUUGUAUGGAAUGAAUGUUGUUGUGACUAAAUUCCGUGUGCAAGACCUAUCAGUUAGCAUGCUAGAAUAAAAGCUCUGAAUGAUCUAACUUCUGCAACUACCAAAUGUUGUUUCUGCACAUAGGUCAUGGAUUUCCCCUAUUGAUAUUGUACAUGCAAUUGGCUUCAAAUAUUUCAGUAAAAUCUCAUGAUGACAUCAAUAUAUAGACUUGUGCGAUAUGUGUGCAUCAAUUAUUUUGACCCAAGACAUUAUUCCAGAAAGCACAAGAUAUUACUUUAUCCAGUCUAUCCAGUCUAUUCCAGAAAGCACAAGGGCUUGUUGAUCUUUCUUUUCUAGAGUGUUUUUGUUAUGAACUCUUUCGUGAAUUUGGAGUAUCUUUUUUAUUUCUAGAACUUCUUACUGACUCUUUUCCAUUGUAUAGUAGGUUGUGAAGAAUGGGAGAUGCUGAUUUGGAAGAAGAAACAAUCAUCAAACAUGUAUAUAUAUACUGCUACUAUAGUAUUUAUACCUUGCAAGAAAAGAAAGCUGAUAAUUUCGAUGUAAACUAUGACAUUGUGGUUUACAAAUAAAUAAAAUGUUUCAUGUGUAUAUUUUCUGCACUAUGCUAAAUUCAUAUCAGAGACUUUCUA
RNAcentral lists this long non-coding RNA (1334 nucleotides) under Hordeum vulgare. RNAcentral's name for it is "long non-coding RNA (HVUL_LNC007555)". Lineage: Eukaryota; Viridiplantae; Streptophyta; Magnoliopsida; Poales; Poaceae. The record is from RNAcentral.